CAAUAGCGUAUAUUAAAGUUGUUGCAGUUAAAAGCUCGUAGUUGGAGUUCAGAGUGAGCUCGUCCGGUCGGCCUUAUGGGUCAGAACUGGUUGACUCUCUCUUGUUUGUGGAUCCUGUUCGGAGUUAAUUCUUCGGAUGUGGAGUCCACAUCGUUUACCUUGAAAAAUUAGAGUGUUCAAAGCAGGCGUUUGCUUGAAUAUAUUAGCAUGGAAUAAUGGAAUAGGACGCUGGUUCUAUUUUGUUGGUUUCUAGGACCGAAGUAAUGAUUAAUAGGGACAGUUGGGGGCAUUAGUAUUUAAUUGUCAGAGGUGAAAUUCUUGGAUUUAUGAAAGACUAACUACUGCGAAAGCAUUUGUCCAAGGAUGUUUUCUAUUAAUCAAGAACGAAAGUUGGGGGAGUCGAAGAUGAUCAGAUACCGU
Molecule: ribosomal RNA, 420 nt
Filed under: uncultured eukaryote
Lineage: Eukaryota
Description: bacterial SSU rRNA
Rfam family: Eukaryotic small subunit ribosomal RNA
Source: RNAcentral